UAAAUACUUCGCUAACAGUCGUCACAGACAGAGUGCGCUUCCAUUUCUUUUGUGACGACGUGCCUCUCUAAACACCAGCUCUUCUCGUUCUGUCCGUAAAAGACAAAGAAACAUGUCCGACGAAGGAAAACUUUUCGUCGGUGGCCUGAGCUUCGACACAACAGAAGAAUCUCUGGCUGAAGCUUUCGCUAAGUAUGGAAACAUAGCAAAAGUUGAUGUCAUCAGGGACAAAGAAACGGGAAGAUCUCGUGGAUUCGGCUUUGUUAAGUACGAUAAUGCCGAGGAUGCGAAGGAUGCAUUGGAUGGCAUGAACGGCAAGUCAGUUGACGGCAGAACAAUUCGUGUGGACGAGGCAGGCAAGGGUGGUGGUCGUUCUGGAGGCGGAGGUGGUGGAUUCAGAGGGUCCAGAGGCGGUGGUGGAUAUGGCGGUGGAGGUGGAUAUGGAGGGGGGAGAGGAAGAGGUGGUGGAGGAUAUGGUGGUGGUGGUGACAGGGGAUAUGGUGAGAGGAGCUAUGGGGGUGGCGGUGGAGACCGGAGCUAUGGCGGUGGCGGCGGAGACCGGAGCUAUGGAAGUGGUGGUGGAUACAGGAGCGGCGGUGGCGGAGGAUACUCUUCCGGUGGUGGAGGAUACAGGGACAAUAGUUAGGGGCCAGGGAGGCUACGGGGAUCGCUCUGGGGGAUCCUACAGAGACAGCUACGACAGUUAUGCUGCUCACGAGUAAAAAUCUGCCCCCCCGAUUCAAGAUCAUCCCUUGGCUGGCUGUAUUUAAAAAGAUGCGCUCCUCUCAAGAAAUUUGUCCACGUGUUGACCUGAUGAUUUUUUGUAGUCCUAUUCUGUGUUUAAGUAGCUCGAGCGUCUUUAAAUUUAGCCAUUGGGUUUCGGCCAUUCAUUUACAAACCAUGUUUAAUAGAAGUUCCAGUUGGAGAUGUUCUCUAAAGGAUGCAUCUCUAUUUGCUCUUAUGGCAUUUCAAUUGAUAAAGCAUAAUGUCUGACUUGUUGGUGCUGCAAAUUUAGUGAACGAAAAUAUUGCUUCACAUGGCUGUUUUUGAAUAACAGCCUCAGUUACUUUCUACGCCCUGUUCCUAUCCAGCACUGUCUGACAUCACCAUUUGAAUCCUAAAUAUUAAUAUUGGGGAUACCAAUGGGGCUUGUUAACUUCCUGUUUUUGUUUUAAACGACAAUGUCCGACCUACCUCCUGCCAAGUUUUAAAACAGUAAAAAAAAAUAUUCCACUUAGAUGCUUUUGAAAACUGGCCGGGAAGUGCUUUUUGGAUUUUAUGAAUGCAUUCCUUGUGUUGCUAGGCAGCAAUGCCUUCACCCAUACCAUUGAGGUUCUUGAUAUAGCCGACGGUCCUGUGUUAAGUUUCCAAAAAGAGUGAAUUCCUUUAAGGCUGGUGACACUGCACGCCUGAAGUGGCCGGCUGUUCAUGAAGUUGCAAAUUGCAGUGGGCUACAGUCGGCCCACGGUGUUUUGCUCUGCUCAGAAGCCUGCAUUUUAAAUGUGCUUGUUAUAAUGGACUUAACUUAAAGAGAACAACAAAAACAAUUCAUACUGUUACUACUCUUCCCCAAUAUUCCACCUGGGAACGAUUUUGUACUUUCUGUUCUUUGUAUCAUCAACAUUGAAGAUUAUUUUUUUUUGUCAAUUUUGGCUUCAUGGAGCCCAUUAAACGAUUUGUUGAAAAUA
RNA transcript from Oncorhynchus tshawytscha (Chinook salmon), 1688 nucleotides. It is a transcript of the gene named cold-inducible RNA-binding protein B, with no coding region annotated. Lineage: Eukaryota; Metazoa; Chordata; Actinopteri; Salmoniformes; Salmonidae. The transcript has 7 exons. The record is from RefSeq and is a predicted model, not a curated record.